This is a non-coding RNA of Phrynosoma platyrhinos (Desert horned lizard), 67 nucleotides long. NCBI's taxonomy places the organism in Eukaryota, Metazoa, Chordata, Lepidosauria, Squamata, Phrynosomatidae. The record is from the annotation of a GenBank genome assembly.
GGUUGGGUAGUGGUUUGAGCGUUGGACUAGGACUCCGUAGACAAGGGUUCGAUUCCCCGCUCAGCCA